RNAcentral lists this signal recognition particle RNA (142 nucleotides) under Nomascus leucogenys (northern white-cheeked gibbon). Its description in RNAcentral is "Metazoan signal recognition particle RNA". It matches the Rfam family "Metazoan signal recognition particle RNA". From Rfam's summary of the family: The signal recognition particle (SRP) is a universally conserved ribonucleoprotein. It is involved in the co-translational targeting of proteins to membranes. The record is from Rfam by way of RNAcentral. Lineage: Eukaryota; Metazoa; Chordata; Mammalia; Primates; Hylobatidae.
GCCGGGCGUGGUGGCGGGCCCCUGUAGUUCCAGCUACUCAGGAGGCUGAGGCAGGAGAAUCGCUUGAACCCAGGAGGUUCCAGUGAGCUGAGAUCGUGCCACUGCUCUCUGGCCUGGGUGACAGAGCGAGACUCUGUCUCAA